Molecule: ribosomal RNA, 373 nt
Filed under: uncultured eukaryote
Lineage: Eukaryota
Description: partial 18S ribosomal RNA
Rfam family: Eukaryotic small subunit ribosomal RNA
Source: RNAcentral
CAAUAGCGUAUAUUAAAGUUGUUGCAGUUAAAAAGCUCGUAGUUGAAUUUUUGCUUGCCGCCGAUGUCGGAACUUCCGUACGUUCGGCGGCGUGCAUCCUUGGGUGGAACCUGUGUGGCAUUAGGUUGUCGUGCAGGGGAUGCUCAUCGUUUACUGUUAAAAAAUUAGAGUGUUCAAAGCAGGCUUACGCCGUUGAAUAUAUUAGCAUGGAAUAAUAAGAUAGGACCUUGGUACUAUUUUGUUGGUUUGCGCACCGAGGUAAUGAUUAACAGGGACAGUUGGGGGUAUUCGUAUUCCAUUGUCAGAGGUGAAAUUCUUGGAUUUCUGGAAGACGAACUACUGCGAAAGCAUUUACCAAGGAUGUUUUCAUUAA